AUUGAACGCUGGCGGCAGGCCUAACACAUGCAAGUCGAGCGGAUGAAGGGAGCUUGCUCCUGGAUUCAGCGGCGGACGGGUGAGUAAUGCCUAGGAAUCUGCCUGGUAGUGGGGGAUAACGUCCGGAAACGGGCGCUAAUACCGCAUACGUCCUGAGGGAGAAAGUGGGGGAUCUUCGGACCUCACGCUAUCAGAUGAGCCUAGGUCGGAUUAGCUAGUUGGGGGGGUAAAGGCCUACCAAGGCGACGAUCCGUAACUGGUCUGAGAGGAUGAUCAGUCACACUGGAACUGAGACACGGUCCAGACUCCUACGGGGGGCAGCGGUGGGGAAUAUUGGACAAUGGGCGAAAGCCUGAUCCAGCCAUGCCGCGUGUGUGAAGAAGGUCUUCGGAUUGUAAAGCACUUUAAGUUGGGAGGAAGGGCAGUAAGUUAAUACCUUGCUGUUUUGACGUUACCAACAGAAUAAGCACCGGCUAACUUCGUG
Molecule: ribosomal RNA, 484 nt
Filed under: uncultured bacterium
Lineage: Bacteria
Description: partial 16S ribosomal RNA
Rfam family: Bacterial small subunit ribosomal RNA
Source: RNAcentral